GGUGAUGUCUCCUUACCGAUAUCAAGGGAGGCACUCGGUCAUACUGUGGGAAGAUUAACGAGUAAAUCUUGCCUUAGACACUUUUGUUGUCGAUAGUAUGGCGUGAGGGUGGGUUAGAUGCCC
RNAcentral lists this non-coding RNA (123 nucleotides) under Bacillus andreraoultii. RNAcentral's name for it is "epsC RNA". It matches the Rfam family "epsC RNA". Lineage: Bacteria; Bacillati; Bacillota; Bacilli; Caryophanales; Bacillaceae. The record is from RNAcentral.